CGUUGAAGUACCGAUUCUCGCCCGCUCACCGAAGUUAAGCAGCGUUGAGCCUGGUUAGUAACUACAUAGGUGACCGCUUGGGAAUACCAGGUGCUGUG
This is a non-coding RNA of Acanthosepion pharaonis, 98 nucleotides long. NCBI's taxonomy places the organism in Eukaryota, Metazoa, Mollusca, Cephalopoda, Sepiida, Sepiidae. The record is from the annotation of a GenBank genome assembly.